AGAGAGAAUCAGCUGAGCGGCAAAACAAAAUAGUGAAAACACAUCCACGCACUGCACACCCGACGUUCACAAAAAGUAACGUUUCUCUGUAACAUAAUUGUUCUUCAGUGACCCUGACCCUGACCUGGCCCUGCUGUACUGUGGCCUCUCCACUCUUAAGUGAGGAGGCUGCCCCGCCACGAUGGCUGAUGGAUUGCUGUCACUGUCGUGGAACAAUCACAUGUCCACCUUUUCCCACAUGCUGUCAGAUGUUCGGGAUGUGGCAAGGUAUACAGACGUGACACUAGCUUGUGAUGGAAAAUUUUAUCCAGCUCAUAAACUGGUGUUAUCAACUUGUAGUGACUAUUUCCUAAAGAUGUUUGAAAUCACAUCAUGUAAACACCCAGUAAUUAUUAUCAGGGAUGUGAAGUCUAAGAACAUGGAAGCAUUACUUAAUUACAUGUAUGCUGGUGUUGUGAAUGUAAGUCAGAGUGACCUGCCACAGCUUAUCAAGGCUGCUGAGUUGUUGGAAAUCAAAGGCUUGGCUGUGGCAGAUGAACCUCCCAGUGACAGCAAAAGACCAGCACAGACCAUAGACACUCCUGUGGAUCGCAGCAGCCCAAACCCAAAGCGACCCAAACAAGAUGAAAAGAGGCUGCCAGAUCAGGCAGAAAUGCUCAUUAAUUCUCCUACUCCACCUCAGUCAUCUCCUCUGAGGAAAGAUGACAAUCUGGAUGAGCAAGCAAAUGCUCAUGAUGUUUAUGAAAAUGUGAACCAGAAACAAAUUCAAAGUGAACUUAAUCAAGAUAGAAAAGAUACAAGUUGCAGCAGAUCUGAGCAGCUAGACAGCGAACAUGGUUCAGACCAGUUGAUCCUCGCAAGACAGGUGGCAAGUGAGAUUGGCAUCAAGGAGGAGAAAAUUGACUUGGAAAAUGAAAAGGAGGCUGCAGACAUGGGGUAUGAAUAUGAUUCUUUGAUGACUGACCUUAUCGGGGAGGAAGGAGGAGGCCCCAAAGAACACAGUGCAUCCAUGGAACCCUUUAACCACUCCUUAAAUGAAGAGUCAUAUAGUUCUGAAGCAGGACCUUCUGGGUUGCAAGUGUGGCCAGUCCUUGGUGAAGGUGCAGAAUCAGCUGGUCAGGGUUACACUGGAGGUCUGCCCGUAGGAAAUCACUCCGGGCUGCAAUCACUUCAAAUGGAUCACAUGAUGAGGAAAGUUACUGAUGGUGAACAUACUGUGAGAGGACAAGUCUUGGGAGAAAUGAACAACUUUGCAACUCCAUACAAGAGAUAUCUCUGUUCUUUCUGUGAUUAUGCAACAAAUAAUGCUACCUGUCACAAGCGGCAUGUGCGCACUCACACUGGUGAGAAGCCUUUCCACUGCCCCUACUGCCCUGCAAAGUGCACUCGCAAAGCCACGCUGCUCGCCCACAUACAGUGUCACACAGGGGAGACGCCUCUUAUGUGUUCACAUUGUCCUUAUGUUUCAAGGCAAAAAAGUAAUCUUAAUAGACACAUUAAAAGAUAUCAUAGAAAUUUAUGAAAUGACCAGUUUAUGAUAAGUAACAUUCAGUUCAGAUUGAAGAGCCUGUGAAAUACAAUAAUCAUUUCACUGUACGUAUCACUAAUUUUAUGACUCUGAUGUAUUGCAAUACAGUAAACCCUGAGUAUAUCAAUCUAAUUUGGGGAAGACGAUAAAGGAAAAUAUUAGAAAAAAUGGCAGUUAGAUUUCUCCUCACACAGCCAACUUUGUUUGGUAAAUGAGAUGGAAGUUCGGUAUACCAAAGUAAACCUCAAAUAAUAUUAAUUUUGGUGACUCAUGGAUUGGCUCUAAAUUAUACAGCUUAUACUUUAUUUUGGUUUGAAUAAAACAACAGAUCUUAUGGAAAAAUGCUUUUACUGUGCUCAAAUAAACAAGAACACAUGUGAAAACAAAUAAUUAAAUUUAAAUACAUACUAUACAUACAUACAUAAGUACAUACUAACACAUCAACAUUCCACUUCAACUGUUGCUGUGAGACUAAGGCAUAGGCAGCAUGUGCAGGUAUGGUGUGUAUGUUCACCAACACCACCACCACCACCACCACUCACACUGUCCUUAUCUUCUUCCUACCUUCACUCACUCUCGUGCUGUUGUUGUCACUCACCAAAUGGUCUCCCUCAUAUACUGACUUUUAUUCAGUAAAUCAGAUGGAUGGUUGGUGGGCCAUAGUAUGUUUGAUAAAUACAAAAUUCUGUAUAAUAAGGUUUGAAAUAAUGAUGGUUUACUGUAUACUGAAAAUACUUUCAUAGCUUUUUCCUCACAAAGUUUCAUUGUGAAAAAUAUGUGAUAGUAAUAUUUAUCUCAAUAACAAUAAUGUUACCUCAGUAUUUUCAGUUUGACUGCUUGCGUUUGAUUGUCAGAACCUGUUAUUGGAAUAUUGCAUUUAGUUACUGUUCAUUUAUUUUAAUGCCAAAGUGAUGUAAUGGUUCAGCUGUCUAUUCAGACAUGCAGACAUAGAUACAAAUUACUGAAGUAAAAUUAGACUUCUUUAUAUACUUUUUUGGGGGGAAUAUGUCAUUCUGUUAAACAUUUCAUAAGAAGCAGCAUAUUUUUUUUAUUCAUGAUGGUGUAUGAUUUGACUUUUGUGUGUAAGGGAGUCAGCCUAAUCAGAUUGAUAUUAGGUGCCCUUAGAUUUUGAGCUUUAAAGACAGCCAUGAUGGCCAGCUCUUCAAGUUUGCACCUUGCUUUCUGGCACCCAGUGCUAAGUCUCCAACUCUACACUGUGAAGCACCUUGGGUGCUUCUUACACGGAAGCUACCAAAGGAGUGUCGGCACAUCAGACAAGUGGGGCUGUCACCCACAUCGAUUGUUGCUGGCAUAAGUGAAAGGUGGGGGCUGAAAGUGAGUGCCAGUGGGUGGCACGAGGCGUGGCUCAAGGACCAGCAUUCAGCUUCAGUUCCCGGAGCAGCAAGAAGCACCACCUCAGGAAGGUUCACCAGUGUCCAUUUUGUAGCUA
RNAcentral lists this unclassified non-coding RNA (2978 nucleotides) under Portunus trituberculatus (swimming crab). Its description in RNAcentral is "chorion transcription factor Cf2-like, transcript variant X5". The record is from RNAcentral. Lineage: Eukaryota; Metazoa; Arthropoda; Malacostraca; Decapoda; Portunidae.